UUUUUGGCAUAGCUAGACAUGUGGCCAGAGAUGGAGGUCAACCAACUGUCCAGCAGUUCUUGUUUAUUUACCAUAUGCUAAGUGUCAACAACUUGGUACGGCCUCCGAAAAGAGCGUCAGUCAAAGGUGAAGCACCAAAGUUGCUCCUCAAGUUGCAAGAUACUGACUGCAAAAAAGAGCCUUCUCCAACUCAUGUCGACACACUGGCUGUGCUCUUCGAUGAUAUUCUUUUAGAGCCUGCUGACUGCAUGGAAGGCAACAGUGGCACAAUACAGCCCAUGUCACCCAAGGAGUGCAUUCUAGAUCAUCUUGCUGGCUACAUGGUCAAGAAGUUUGCAACGAUGGCUUGCUCUUUGUGUGUCCAAACCUUCAAAAAUUCAACUCGGAAGCCAAAUGAUUUGACAUCAAUAAGAUCAAAAGGCUAUCUACAGGUGCCCUCAGACCGCUUGCUUGGCCUUUUAAAAAUAGUAGAAGGCUAUGUGGAGGAGUUCACAGUAGAGAAAAUUGCAUGCCCUAAUCUCUACAUGAAUAUUAUUGAAAGCAUAUUGCAUGACAAUAGGAUUCCCUCUGCUAGCGUGGGCUGUCCAUCUCAUUUUGUGGCAACCACUGCAUAAGUUGUUCAUUUCUUUCUGAGAUGCCGGCUGCAUUUUUUCACCAGAGAAAAAAACAAGAAGUCCAGGGAAUCAUCGCUCCGGUCUUGUCCGGCAAGUGGAGAGAAAAAGUUGAGUUAAACAUGGUUAAACGGUUUCGAGUUAUCUAGCUCUGUCAUGCCUCUGCAAAAUAAAAAGAUUUGUGGGAUUUUUUGCUUUAAAAAUUGUUGUCCUGUACUCAUGAAUAAAACUAUUGUUCCCCCUU
Molecule: non-coding RNA, 855 nt
Organism: Dermacentor andersoni
Lineage: Eukaryota; Metazoa; Arthropoda; Arachnida; Ixodida; Ixodidae
Source: RefSeq, a predicted model, not a curated record